This 253-nucleotide ribosomal RNA is filed under the name uncultured bacterium. RNAcentral's name for it is "partial 16S ribosomal RNA". It matches the Rfam family "Bacterial small subunit ribosomal RNA", at positions 524 to 776 of the family's 1533-position model. The record is from RNAcentral.
UACGUAGGGUGCGAGCGUUGUCCGGAAUUAUUGGGCGUAAAGAGCUUGUAGGCGGUUUGUUGCGUCGGCUGUGAAAUCCCGAGGCUCAACCUCGGGUCUGCAGUCGAUACGAGCAGGCUAGAGUUCGGUAGGGGAGACUGGAAUUCCUGGUGUAGCGGUGAAAUGCGCAGAUAUCGUGGAGAACACCCGUGGCGAAGGCGGGCUUCUGGCUAAUGACUGACGCUGAGGUGCGAAAGCUAGGGGAGCGAACGGG